RNAcentral lists this ribosomal RNA (835 nucleotides) under uncultured bacterium. RNAcentral's name for it is "bacterial SSU rRNA". It matches the Rfam family "Bacterial small subunit ribosomal RNA", at positions 667 to 1502 of the family's 1533-position model. The record is from RNAcentral.
UUCCAGGUGUAGGAGUGAAAUCCGUAGAUAUCUGGAGGAACACCGGUGGCGAAGGCGGCCACCUGGACGGUAACUGACGCUGAGGUGCGAAAGCGUGGGUAGCAAACAGGAUUAGAUACCCUGGUAGUCCACGCUGUAAACGAUGGGUGCUGGGUGCUGGGAUGUAUGUCUCGGUGCCGUAGCUAACGCGAUAAGCACCCCGCCUGGGGAGUACGGUCGCAAGGCUGAAACUCAAAGAAAUUGACGGGGGCCCGCACAAGCGGUGGAGUAUGUGGUUUAAUUCGAUGCAACGCGAAGAACCUUACCCAGGCUUGACAUCUAGGGAACCCUUCGGAAAUGAAGGGGUGCCCUUCGGGGAGCCCUAAGACAGGUGCUGCAUGACUGUCGUCAGCUCGUGCCGUGAGGUGUUGGGUUAAGUCCCGCAACGAGCGCAACCCCUAUCUUCAGUAGCCAGCACGCAGAGGUGGGCACUCUGGAGAGACUGCCAGGGACAACCUGGAGGAAGGUGGGGAUGACGUCAAAUCAUCAUGCCCCUUAUGGCCAGGGCUACACACGUGCUACAAUGGCGUAAACAGAGGGAAGCGAGCCCGCGAGGGGGAGCAAAUCCCAAAAAUAACGUCCCAGUUCGGACUGCAGGCUGCAACCCGCCUGCACGAAGCUGGAAUCGCUAGUAAUCGCGAAUCAGCAUGUCGCGGUGAAUACGUUCCCGGGUCUUGUACACACCGCCCGUCACACCAUGGGAGUCGGUAACGCCCGAAGUCAGUGACCCAACCUCCGGGAGGGAGCUGCCGAAGGCGGGACCGGUAACUGGGGUGAAGUCGUAACAAGGUAACCA